This 193-nucleotide ribosomal RNA is filed under the name uncultured bacterium. RNAcentral describes it as "partial 16S ribosomal RNA". It matches the Rfam family "Bacterial small subunit ribosomal RNA", at positions 336 to 526 of the family's 1533-position model. The record is from RNAcentral.
CUCCUACGGGAGGCAGCAGUAAGGAAUAUUGGUCAAUGGACGCAAGUCUGAACCAGCCAUGCCGCGUGAAGGAUGAAGGUCCUCUGGAUUGUAAACUUCUUUUAUCUGGGACGAAACACUGGUUUUCUAACCAGCUUGACGGUACCAGAGGAAUAAGCACCGGCUAACUCCGUGCCAGCAGCCGCGGUAAUUC